Molecule: transfer RNA, 73 nt
Filed under: Canis lupus familiaris (dog)
Lineage: Eukaryota; Metazoa; Chordata; Mammalia; Carnivora; Canidae
Rfam family: tRNA
About the family: Transfer RNA (tRNA) molecules are approximately 80 nucleotides in length.
Source: Rfam by way of RNAcentral
GCCUGGCUGGCUCAGUUGGUAGAGCAUAUAACUUUUGAUAUCGGGGUUGUAAGUUCAAGCCCCAUGUUAGGCA